UGCCCUCAGGAGGGGGAUAACGGCUGGAAACGGCCGCUAAUACCCCAUAUGCCGAGAGGUGAAAUGAAUUUCGCCUGAGGAUGAGCCCGCGUCUGAUUAGCUAGUUGGUGAGGUAAGAGCUCACCAAGGCAUCGAUCAGUAGCUGGUCUGAGAGGAUGAUCAGCCACACUGGGACUGAGACACGGCCCAGACU
Molecule: ribosomal RNA, 193 nt
Filed under: uncultured cyanobacterium
Lineage: Bacteria; Bacillati; Cyanobacteriota
Description: partial 16S ribosomal RNA
Rfam family: Bacterial small subunit ribosomal RNA
Source: RNAcentral